GUUCGACCAUGGUGCAGCUGCAUUCAGAAAUUCUACUGUUAUGCAUGUGAUUUUCAUGUGGAGUUUGGAAGGAGAAGCAUUCCUGGAGACUUCUGUUGCAGAAGGGAGGGAUGGUUUCUCCCUGGAGCCUGCACUUUUGAGAAGUCCAUUCAUGCUUUUGCCUCGAGUGCUUAAACCUUGGACAUACCGGCCUCCAGAACUGUGAGAAAUAAAUGGCUAUUGUUUAGGCCACCUAGUCUAUGGAUUGUUCUGCCUGGAAGAGAUGGUGGACACCAGGCAUGACAGAGAAGAUUGUUGGAUUUGUGCCUACCAUUAGGUCUCAAAGAUGUAUCUGACUCUACUGGAUAUCUGCUUAGAAUGCAAAUAUUUUGCAUGUUGGUGUAUUUGUGCUCUGCAGUAAUUUCCGAAAAUGGGAC
Molecule: long non-coding RNA, 416 nt
Organism: Heterocephalus glaber (naked mole-rat)
Lineage: Eukaryota; Metazoa; Chordata; Mammalia; Rodentia; Bathyergidae
Source: Ensembl